Bubalus bubalis (water buffalo) is the source of this 1584-nucleotide long non-coding RNA. RefSeq lists it as uncharacterized. The transcript has 4 exons. The record is from RefSeq and is a predicted model, not a curated record. Lineage: Eukaryota; Metazoa; Chordata; Mammalia; Artiodactyla; Bovidae.
ACAUUCUGCUUAUGAAAAGGAAGAUAGAAUCAAUGGUAGAGCAGAAAGAACAGUGUGAAGGGGGCUGAGAUCAGAACAGCGUGGAGAUAAGAACAUGAGUUCUGGGACCAGUAGACAAGGCUCCCAGUGCCAACCCUGUCACUUUCUUGUGGGACCCUGGGCAAGUCUCUUAACCAGUCUCAACCUCAACUUUCUCAUCUGUGAAGUGGGAACAGUAACCCUGAGCCUUCUAAGGCUAUUGUGAGGAUGGCAUGGGGAAAUAACAGAAUAUUCUGUAGUUAGCAAGAGUUCAGGAAAUGUUCCAUUCCCCAUCCCCCCACCAAGUAUUGAUAUUUUCCAGCUCUAGGGCAAACAUCUCUUGGAUUGGCCUUGGUAGAUAAUUUAAGGCAAGUUGGCUGCCCAGCAGAAUUUGCUGCAGUUCUAAGGCCUCUCCAUAUUAAUAGGACUAAUUGUGUCGAAGCUGAUGGAGCCUUUGGUUUGUGGCCAGAAUGCGGAGGCAUGAGGCCCUCUUUCAUGCUUGUGAAUGGCUGGGUUUGGUGAGCUCCUUUGAUGAGUUUUUUUUGUCUGUAUUCAAUCGGGUCAGUGUCCCUUCCCUAGAAUGGAAAUGGGGUCAGUGUCCUUUCCCUAGAAACACCGCACCCACGUCUUUGCCCCUUCGAGGGGCUGGUUUGUGGUUGUUGCUGUUGUUUUAUCAAAACUUUCUUUAAAGUGACCUCCUUUCUCCACAGCGCAUGCUAAAAUUCUGGGCUCUGAUUAAAUGUUUCUGAAAGCAGCCCUACUGCCUUUAGUUAGAUGCCAAAUAAACAACUCUCCCGCUGGGAGAGGACCCUCUUCUCACGCAAUCCCAGCCCUGCAGGGCGUAAGGGACGCUGACCACUGUGCCCUCUGCGGAUGGAAAGGACCCCAGAUUUAUCUCCCCCGAGAAUAGGGCAAGCGCAGUGCUGCUGCGCUGUGUUCCGGCUCCGCCUCCUCGCACCUCGUCCGACGUCCUCCUUGCAAAGCGCUGCUGUCCCCGGGCUGAGCUACCGGUCCAGGAUGAACAAACAUGUUGACUUCCAGAAGAGAUUGACUAUCCAAUGGACAGAUGAGACCUUUGGGUGCUGAGGGGUGAGGAUCCACCAAGAAAAGUCCAGAAUGAGAUUGUCCCUUGUUUUCAAAUGCCUGUCAACAAGCUAAGAUGACAGAUUUGCCUGUGAUAAUGUGCUGAGGCAAUAUGCAUUUUAACUGAAGCCUCCUGGAAUCAACUCCACUUGUGCUACUCAAGCCUGCAGUGACUUCGAGGGCAGAAUUUCAGGUGAACGUGAAUCCGGGGAAAAGUGGAACCUCAGUCUCACCCGGCAAAGAAGAUCUUAAGUUCCUCAGCUGUGGAUUGUCUGCCCUUCAAAGUAGGAAACUAAUUCUCACCAUCUGAGGAACCACUAAGUUCCUCAUGUUAUCUGUGUACUUCAGGUGCCUCCAAGAGAAGUUUUGUGGCACUUGACUGCGACUUCUCAUGGAAGUUUUAAAACUCUGUGACUGUGAUGAAGGACACUUUGAAUGAGUUGCUCUCCACUGUUUUGGAUGUUCAAUAAAUACGUGGUGAAA